Molecule: ribosomal RNA, 465 nt
Filed under: uncultured bacterium
Lineage: Bacteria
Description: partial 16S ribosomal RNA
Rfam family: Bacterial small subunit ribosomal RNA
Source: RNAcentral
GACGAACGCUGGCGGCGUGCUUAACACAUGCAAGUCGUACGGUAAGGCCCUCUCGGGGGUACACGAGUGGCGAACGGGUGAGUAACACGUGAGUAACCUGCCCACAACUUUGGGAUAACGCUAGGAAACUGGUGCUAAUACUGGAUAUGUGCUCCUGCUGCAUGGUGGGGGUUGGAAAGCUCCGGCGGUUGUGGAUGGACUCGCGGCCUAUCAGCUUGUUGGUGGGGUAGUGGCCUACCAAGGCGGCGACGGGUAGCCGGCCUGAGAGGGUGACCGGCCACAUUGGGACUGAGAUACGGCCCAGACUCCUACGGGAGGCAGCAGUGGGGAAUAUUGCACAAUGGGCGCAAGCCUGAUGCAGCAACGCCGCGUGCGGGAUGACGGCCUUCGGGUUGUAAACCGCUUUCAGCAGGGACGAAGCUUUUUGUGACGGUACCUGCAGAAGAAGCACCGGCUAACUACGUG